Molecule: ribosomal RNA, 770 nt
Filed under: Pachysternum nigrovittatum
Lineage: Eukaryota; Metazoa; Arthropoda; Insecta; Coleoptera; Hydrophilidae
Description: SSU rRNA
Rfam family: Eukaryotic small subunit ribosomal RNA
Source: RNAcentral
UACCACAUCCAAGGAAGGCAGCAGGCGCGCAAAUUACCCACUCCCGGCACGGGGAGGUAGUGACGAAAAAUAACGAUACGGGACUCAUCCGAGGCCCCGUAAUCGGAAUGAGUACACUCUAAACCCUUUAACGAGGAUCAAUUGGAGGGCAAGUCUGGUGCCAGCAGCCGCGGUAAUUCCAGCUCCAAUAGCGUAUAUUAAAGUUGUUGCGGUUAAAAAGCUCGUAGUCGAAUUUGUGUUUCGCGCCGCCGGUUCAUCGCUCGCGGUGUUCAACUGGCGUGUCGCGGAACGUCCUGCCGGUGGGACCGGGCGUUCGCGUCCGGCCCCAACUUUAAAUCCUGCCGCGGUGCUCUUCAUUGAGUGUCGAGGUAGGCCGGCACGUUUACUUUGAACAAAUUAGAGUGCUCAAAGCAGGCUAAAAUUUCGCCUGAAUAUUCUGUGCAUGGAAUAAUGGAAUAGGACCUCGGUUCUAUUUUGUUGGUUUUCGGAACCCCGAGGUAAUGAUUAAUAGGAACGGAUGGGGGCAUUCGUAUUGCGACGUUAGAGGUGAAAUUCUUGGAUCGUCGCAAGACGGACAGAAGCGAAAGCAUUUGCCAAAAACGUUUUCAUUGAUCAAGAACGAAAGUUAGAGGUUCGAAGGCGAUCAGAUACCGCCCUAGUUCUAACCAUAAACGAUGCCAGCUAGCGAUCCGCCGACGUUCCUCCGAUGACUCGGCGGGCAGCUUCCGGGAAACCAAAGCUUUGGGUUCCGGGGGAAGUAUGGUUGCAAA